RNAcentral lists this ribosomal RNA (232 nucleotides) under uncultured bacterium. RNAcentral's name for it is "partial 16S ribosomal RNA". It matches the Rfam family "Bacterial small subunit ribosomal RNA", at positions 104 to 339 of the family's 1533-position model. The record is from RNAcentral.
GGGUGAGUAACGCGUAGGAAUCUACCUAGUAGUGGGGGAUAGCCCAGAGAAAUUUGGAUUAAUACCGCAUACACCCUACGGGGGAAAGGAGGGGAUCUUCGGACCUUUCGCUAUUAGAUGAGCCUGCGUUAGAUUAGCUUGUUGGUGGGGUAAAGGCCUACCAAGGCGACGAUCUAUAGCUGUUCUGAGAGGAAGAUCAGCCACACUGGGACUGAGACACGGCCCAGACUCC